This 200-nucleotide ribosomal RNA is filed under the name uncultured bacterium. RNAcentral's name for it is "partial 16S ribosomal RNA". It matches the Rfam family "Bacterial small subunit ribosomal RNA", at positions 8 to 224 of the family's 1533-position model. The record is from RNAcentral.
AGAGUUUGAUCCUGGCUCAGAACGAACGCUGGCGGCAUGCCUAACACAUGCAAGUCGAACGCGUGGAGCGAUCCACGCGUGGCGCACGGGUGAGUAACGCGUGGGAACCUGCCCUUGAGUGGGGGAUAACCCGGCGAAAGCCGGGCUAAUACCGCAUACGCCCCAUGAGAGAUCAUGGGGGAAAGAUUUAUCGCUCGAGG